This 243-nucleotide unclassified non-coding RNA is filed under the name uncultured fungus. RNAcentral's name for it is "partial contains 5.8S ribosomal RNA, internal transcribed spacer 2, and large subunit ribosomal RNA". Lineage: Eukaryota; Fungi. The record is from RNAcentral.
AACGCAUAUUGCACCUUAGAGUAUUCUUUAAGGUAUACCUGUUUGAGCGUCGUUUACAAUCUAAAGCAUUGCUUUUUGUUAGGAUUUGGUUAGCAGUUAACCAAUUACUUAAACGAAGUGGCGUUAUUUGUUAGUCAAAACACAGUGAAAAUGUGUGCUUGUCGAGCAAAUGAUUUUGCCUAUUGAACAUAUAUAUAUAUACUGUUCGACCUCAAAUCAAGUAAGACUACCCGCUGAACUUAA